CCUGUGGGGCUGCGGGAAAGCAAGUCUCCAGAGCAAGGAAAAAUGAUGCUGAGAGCCACAGGCCGGGCUGGAAAGGCCAGUGCAAGCCUGAGGGUCCCCAGGGAUGGAAGGAAGCAGCCGUCUCUCCGCAGGUCGGGCUCCUCUGCCGCACCCUCCUCCGCCCAUCCCUCCUCCCUCCUCCCUCCCAUCUACCUUCUGGUGCCCAAGGAACCAGUGGGUGGGGGGCGUUGGGAAGGCGCGCAGGUCCCGCAGCAGCCUCUGCCUCCGCAGGUAGAGCUUAAUGGUCUGCAGCAGCCCCAGGGCCAGGCAGAACACGAACGCCAGUACAGGGAAUUGGAGAUACCAAAAAAAUCCCAUCAACAUGGAUAGUGGUGCCUCUAGAUGGAAAUAAGCCCCAUGAGACUCCCAGAAGGAGGCCUGUGCCUCUACCAAUGCUCAUCUGAUGGCUACUUCCAUGUCAGACACGAGAGACAAGAAAUGAAGGUCAUUGAGGGGCUGCUUCAAUCCUACACACAGCCCAAAGAAAACCAUACAUUUGUCUACAAACAGCAGUGCAAGUUCAUCUGCGUCUCGUUAUUGGGCUGCAAGAAUAAGCAACCUGACCCUCAGUUUGGUCUGGGAACAAAUUUGGUGAGGCAGCCAGGAGCCACUGGGACGGUGCUGUUUUCAACCGUCAGCGGCUUGUGAUGAAACAGUCUUCAGGAGGAUCCCAGCAGCUGUUGGGUGAGAGUUUCCCAGGGAUCCCUUCUGAGGGCUGUCCCAUGUGAAAAAUUGCAUGUCCCUCCCACUGUUGGGGAAGACUGGAGAUCAGGGGUGAACGUGCUGGAAGGGUUAGUUAAUUGGAUUGUAUGCCAGGAGUCUGUUGCUUUCCUAUCUGGGCUUGUUAAGCCACUUGUCUGGUACCGCCAGGGGAGCAAUAAGGCUUGCUCAUACACCCACUUUGCAUUUUGGUUAAGAUCAGGUUUUGUGUUGGUUUUGAGUCUGUUCUGCCUGAAUGCACUCCCCCUGGUGUUUGUCUGAAUUCUGUCUCCACUUGUUUGUGUAUCUGUCUUGUCUCUUUUGAUACCAUGUAAGCUUGAAUAUAAGAGGUGUCAGGUCCAUCCCUGCUGGGAGCCCUCUGGGAAGGAAAAAGGUUUUUUUAAAGGAGCUCAAUGAUUAAAAGUCAGCUUAAUUAAAAGGUAACAUCUAAGA
Macaca mulatta (Rhesus monkey) is the source of this 1191-nucleotide non-coding RNA. The record is from RefSeq and is a predicted model, not a curated record. Lineage: Eukaryota; Metazoa; Chordata; Mammalia; Primates; Cercopithecidae.